AUGCGCGUGCGCACGAGUCGCAGCCGAGCAGCUGCGCACGCUUAUCCUAACGGGCGACCUCUGAAAACCCAAGUGUUUCGCUGCUAAGAAGCCGACCACAUGUCAAAAGUGUCGAGUCACCCCCGAGAGCAGCCCUUGACCCGGGAACGCCUGCGUCACGCUGGACUACACGCCGUGCGUUUUCCAGAGAGCCAAUUAGGAUCGAGAAGGUGUAAAGGGAUUUCCACCAGGCUGGGAGACGUUAAUGAGAUCAUCUCACGAGAGCGAUGCAGCGGCGCCCGAGGGCCUUUCCCCAGCGCAGGCCAGAGAGCUGCUUUUGCUUCCGAAAGAGGUGAAACCUGCUCUGACAGCUCAACGGGACGUCCCACAUGGGAGCAAAAGAAACAAGUAGACAAAGAGGAGGACUUCACACUGCCAGGCUGAUUUUUUUUCCAUUGUGUCGGCCUUGAUCUUGUGAAUACUGGUCUCAUCUUUUCCUCUUUUUUUUUAAACCAUUUUUUUAAGCCUGCUUCACCAGUCUGCCCCCAGCUGUCGGAAUAUUGGCAAUAAGCACUAACGGGAGUAAACAAAGCAGCAGACGAUGCCCGAAGACGGUUACCUGGAGGAAACAAGAAAGUCCCGUUCUCCCCACGUUUUGCCGUUUCUUUUAAUCCGCGGGGCUCUUAGAGGGGAACAAUGUUUUUGAGAUGCCGUCAUGUGGAGCUCAACAUACAUUUACUGCCUGUUAAAAUUUA
Gasterosteus aculeatus aculeatus (three-spined stickleback) is the source of this 734-nucleotide long non-coding RNA. The record is from Ensembl. NCBI's taxonomy places the organism in Eukaryota, Metazoa, Chordata, Actinopteri, Perciformes, Gasterosteidae.